Molecule: ribosomal RNA, 433 nt
Filed under: uncultured bacterium
Lineage: Bacteria
Description: partial 16S ribosomal RNA
Rfam family: Bacterial small subunit ribosomal RNA
Source: RNAcentral
AACGAACGCUGGCGGCAUGCCUAACACAUGCAAGUCGAACGAGACCUUCGGGUCUAGUGGCGCACGGGUGCGUAACGCGUGGGAACCUGCCCUUAGGUUCGGAAUAACUCCCCGAAAGGGGUGCUAAUACCGGAUAAUGUCUUCGGACCAAAGAUUUAUCGCCUUUGGAUGGGCCCGCGUUGGAUUAGCUAGUUGGUAGGGUAAAAGCCUACCAAGGCGACGAUCCAUAGCUGGUCUGAGAGGAUGAUCAGCCACACUGGGACUGAGACACGGCCCAGACUCCGACGGGAGGCAGCAGUGGGGAAUAUUGGACAAUGGGCGAAAGCCUGAUCCAGCAAUGCCGCGUGAGUGAUGAAGGCCGUAGGGUUGUAAAGCUCUUUUACCCGGGAUGAUAAUGACAGUACCGGGAGAAUAAGCUCCGGCUAACUCCGUG